RNAcentral lists this ribosomal RNA (484 nucleotides) under uncultured bacterium. RNAcentral describes it as "partial 16S ribosomal RNA". It matches the Rfam family "Bacterial small subunit ribosomal RNA", at positions 36 to 507 of the family's 1533-position model. The record is from RNAcentral.
CUUUCCCUCUGGCGGCAGGCCUAACACAUGCAAGUCGAGCGGAUGAAGGGAGCUUGCUCCUGGAUUCAGCGGCGGACGGGUGAGUAAUGCCUAGGAAUCUGCCUGGUAGUGGGGGAUAACGUCCGGAAACGGGCGCUAAUACCGCAUACGUCCUGAGGGAGAAAGUGGGGGAUCUUCGGACCUCACGCUAUCAGAUGAGCCUAGGUCGGAUUAGCUAGUUGGUGGGGUAAAGGCCUACCAAGGCGACGAUCCGUAACUGGUCUGAGAGGAUGAUCAGUCACACUGGAACUGAGACACGGUCCAGACUCCUACGGGAGGCAGCAGUGGGGAAUAUUGGACAAUGGGCGAAAGCCUGAUCCAGCCAUGCCGCGUGUGUGAAGAAGGUCUUCGGACUGUAAAGCACUUUAAGUUGGGAGGAAGGGCAGUAAGUUAAUACCUUGCUGUUUUGACGUUACCAACAGAAUAAGCACCGGCUAACUUCGUG